Perca fluviatilis (European perch) is the source of this 981-nucleotide long non-coding RNA. RefSeq lists it as uncharacterized. NCBI's taxonomy places the organism in Eukaryota, Metazoa, Chordata, Actinopteri, Perciformes, Percidae. The transcript is spliced from 6 exons. The record is from RefSeq and is a predicted model, not a curated record.
UAACAUACACAUCAGUCUGCCAGAAAUUCAGAAGAAGAGGAAGAAGAAACACCUCCUGUCCUCUCUACCCCCGUAGAAGAAGAACGCCCCCCUCCCCCGCAGUUGUUGGAAUUUUGAAUUUUCUCACAACAGUCGUUGGAAAUAACCGUCGCUUCGCGCUCUAUCCGUUUUGGCCUGUGCUUCUUCGGUGAAACUUCGUCGUGUAUUCAAGGUUAUUUUGAAUGGACAGCUUUGUCGCUGAUAAGCUAACUGACUGGCGGCUGUCUGAGCUGACAGAGAAUUUUAGAGGCCAUCCACAAACAUAAAAGAGGCCCUGGCGCUAUCAUUGGUUCAGACAUUCCCUGAAUGAUGGAUCAGAAAUUGGCUAUUUCCAGAGACUCCAGAAUGAAAACCAAGCUCUGAGGGAGGAGAACCACACCCUGAGGGAAAGCAAUGCACGAGCAGCCUCGGAUGACAGCGGCUCACUUCAAGAGCAGGUGAAGCAAGUUGGGACAAUGUUGAAGACGUUUGCUUGCACUUGGCAAUUAGGUGCAGAUCAGACCCUAAUGCUGCGACGUCUUGGAGAGUUUGGCGAUGUUGUGCGUAGCAUGGACAACAAAAUGGAAACUAUGCAGCAACAUUUCAGUGCCAAUGUGUCUGUUGGAGAGCCACUGAUGAGGCGGUCCAGGUUAACGUUGCGCGUUACCUGAAAGCAUCUGACCGUGAAGGCGGAAAAAGGCGCCGCACAGCUGAGAGGGACCCACAGCCGACCCCUUAAACCUAGGCUGACUACUGACACCCCCGCAUCACUGACAACUGGAACACUUUCUUUAUCCUGCAGUCAGUAACAUCAAGAAGCCAGAAGUGCCAGACUACACUCACCCAAUCCACACUAUUCUCUGUGGAAAUUAUUUUUUCUUCUUCUUUUUUUUUUAUUCCCCAUGACCCUGCCUUGAGGGCAGCGCCUUGGAUGGAUAUGGGAUGGUGAGGUUGUUUGUCCUU